CCUACGGGAGGCAGCAGUGAGGAAUCUUGGUCAAUGGUCGGGAGACUGAACCAGCCAAGCCGCGUGAGGGAUGAAGGUACAGAUUAUCGUAAACCUCUUUUGUCAGGGAACAAAGGCGGGGACGCGUCCCCGGAUGAGUGUACCUGAAGAAAAAGCAUCGGCUAACUCCGUGCCAGCAGCCGCGGUAAUACGGAGGAUGCGAGCGUUAUCCGGAUUUAUUGGGUUAAAAGGGUGCGCAGGCGGUCUGUUAAGUCAGCGGUCAAACCCCGGGGCUCAACCCCGCCCCGCCGUUGAAACUGGCAGUCUCGAGUGGGAGAGAAGUAUGCGGAAUGCGCGGUGUAGCGGUGAAAUGCAUAGAUAUCGCGCAGAACUCCGAUUGCGAAGGCAGCAUGCCGGCUCCACACUGACGCUGAGGCACGAAAGCGUGGGUAUCGAACAGGAUUAGAUACCCUGGUAGUC
RNAcentral lists this ribosomal RNA (459 nucleotides) under uncultured bacterium. RNAcentral's name for it is "partial 16S ribosomal RNA". It matches the Rfam family "Bacterial small subunit ribosomal RNA", at positions 338 to 795 of the family's 1533-position model. The record is from RNAcentral.